GCCCUCAUAGCUCAGUUGGCAGAGCGCGAGACCUUUAAUCUCGUGGCCUUGGGUUCGAUCCCCAAUGAGGGUG
Emiliania huxleyi CCMP1516 is the source of this 73-nucleotide non-coding RNA. The record is from Rfam. Lineage: Eukaryota; Haptophyta; Isochrysidales; Noelaerhabdaceae.